RNAcentral lists this ribosomal RNA (499 nucleotides) under uncultured bacterium. RNAcentral's name for it is "partial 16S ribosomal RNA". It matches the Rfam family "Bacterial small subunit ribosomal RNA", at positions 28 to 507 of the family's 1533-position model. The record is from RNAcentral.
GACGAACGCUGGCGGCGUGCUUAACACAUGCAAGUCGAACGGGUCUGCCCUGUUUUUUGCGGGGUGGGUCAGUGGCGAACGGGUGAGUAACACGUGAGUAACCUGCCCCUCACUUCUGGAUAACCGCUUGAAAGGGUGGCUAAUACGGGGUGUUCUGGCUGUGCCGCAUGGUGUGGCUGGGAAAGAUUCACUUUUGUGGUGUUUUGGUGGGGGAUGGGCUCGCGGCCUAUCAGCUUGUUGGUGGGGUGAUGCCUGCCAAGGCUUUGACGGGUAGCCGGCCUGAGAGGGUGGGCGGUGAUACGGGGACUGAGAUACGGCCCAGACUCCUGCGGGAGGCAGCAGUGGGGGGUAUUGCACAAUGGGCGGAAGCCUGAUGCAGCGACGUCGCGUGAGGGAUGGAGGCCUUCGGGUUGUGAACCUCUUUCGCCGGUGAAGAAGGUCCUGCUCUUUGUGGUGGGGUUGACGGUAGCCGGGUUAUGAAGCGCCGGCUAACUACGUG